AGAACCUUGCCCAGCUGAGCCCAGGGAAGUUGUGUCUUAGCCUAACCGUUUCAUUCCGUUUCUCUGACUUUGCAAUUACCAGAAGUAUGAACUUCGUUUGGAACGACAUUUGUCCAAGGUUAUGAUAACAAACAACUGUCUCUCCAGUGAUGCAUUUGUUCCGUGCACCCAGCUCAAGGCCCUUCUCCUGCUUUUCUCUCAAGUCUCACUCGUCCUCCAUCAUCUGGGCCAGAAAGUUCCUGCUUCAGAGCUGAAGGUGGCCGUGUGGUUUUCACCUCAAAUCUUCAGCAAGAGCUAGAGAGAAAAAGAGUCUGAACAAUCAGUCACAUUUCCUGUGGAGUCCCAGUAAUAUCCCU
Molecule: long non-coding RNA, 356 nt
Filed under: Sus scrofa (pig)
Lineage: Eukaryota; Metazoa; Chordata; Mammalia; Artiodactyla; Suidae
Description: lncRNA (ENSSSCG00070026701.1)
Source: RNAcentral